This 492-nucleotide ribosomal RNA is filed under the name uncultured bacterium. Its description in RNAcentral is "partial 16S ribosomal RNA". It matches the Rfam family "Bacterial small subunit ribosomal RNA", at positions 29 to 507 of the family's 1533-position model. The record is from RNAcentral.
AGUGAACGCUGGCGGUAGGCCUAACACAUGCAAGUCGAACGGCAGCACAGUAAGAGCUUGCUCUUACGGGUGGCGAGUGGCGGACGGGUGAGGAAUACAUCGGAAUCUACUUUUUCGUGGGGGAUAACGUAGGGAAACUUACGCUAAUACCGCAUACGACCUACGGGUGAAAGCAGGGGAUCUUCGGACCUUGCGCGAUUGAAUGAGCCGAUGUCGGAUUAGCUAGUUGGCGGGGUAAAGGCCCACCAAGGCGACGAUCCGUAGCUGGUCUGAGAGGAUGAUAAGCCACACUGGAACUGAGACACGGUCCAGACUCCUACGGGAGGCAGCAGUGGGGAAUAUUGGACAAUGGGCGCAAGCCUGAUCCAGCCAUACCGCGUGGGUGAAGAAGGCCUUCGGGUUGUAAAGCCCUUUUGUUGGGAAAGAAAAGCAGCAGGUUAAUACCCCGCUGUUCUGACGGUACCCAAAGAAUAAGCACCGGCUAGCUUCGUG